Molecule: small nucleolar RNA, 107 nt
Filed under: Gossypium hirsutum (cotton)
Lineage: Eukaryota; Viridiplantae; Streptophyta; Magnoliopsida; Malvales; Malvaceae
Description: Plant small nucleolar RNA R71
Rfam family: Plant small nucleolar RNA R71
About the family: R71 is a member of the C/D box family of snoRNAs containing the C (UGAUGA) and D (CUGA) box motifs. Multiple nearly identical copies of this snoRNA have been identified in Arabidopsis, and it is thought to function as a 2'-O-ribose methylation guide for 18S ribosomal RNA.
Source: Rfam by way of RNAcentral
AAUCCAUGCAUCAGACAUUUCCUAAUUAACUCCUUAAAUCGCUCCCACACUUCAUAUAGCAUUUCAUCUUCAAAUUGCAGAAAUGAUGUAAUAUAAUUUCUCAACUU